AUGGGGGCCUUGCACCGUGACCCUUCAGGGCUGGGACAUGGAAAAAUGGGCUGGUGGGGACAGGAGAGCAAGGGGCCGUGCUGGAUGAGCUGGGGGGACCUGGCACAAAUAUCCUGGCACAAAUAUCCUGGCACAAAUAAAUACCCAUCACAAAUGUCCAUCUCCACCUGGGGGUGGCUGGAGGGGCACCGGGGUCCCAGCUCUCCCCAGGAGCCCCUGGGAUGCGAGGAGGUGCAGGAGCUCGAGGUGCCCCCCGCAGCCCCCUUUAGGGCGAACAUUUCCACCCCUGCUGCCUGCCUGGGGGAGCGCUGCCUCACCCGGUCCUGCUCAGGAGAUUUGGGUCCCCCCCUCACCCCGCUGAGCCCCAGGGCUCAGCCCCACGCCACUGUGCACCCAGGGGCCCGUGACGGCUCUCGGGGCGUGGGAGGGGACGUGCUGGUGGCGCUGGGGCCGCGGGGAGGGGGCCGGUCCCCGCGGCCGUGCUUCGCUGGUCCCAUCUGCCACGGCUCGCAGCCAACUUCUGCUUCUGCGAGCGCCGGCCUCACUUCUCCUUUGCACCCCGAGACGGGCAACCGCCAGGCAGCGGGGCCACCCCACAGGCACCCCACAGAGCCGGGCGGGAGCCAGCAGGGAUCGGGACUUGCCCGGCAUCUUCCCGCAUGGCACAGAGCGUGCUCUACGCCGACCUGCGCUUCGCCAAGGGGCCGGGGGGCCGUGGCACGGCCAGCCAGGCACUGGAGGCAGGUGAGAGCUGCAGGACCCCCACAUUGCCCUGUGCCGUGCCCAGAUUUGUUGGCUCCAUGCCCCCUGCCUUCCUCCCGCAGCCUUAGGCAUGGACGAGGCCGAGAGCCCCUACGAGAACAUGGCAUCGGGGCCGGCACCCGCGGGGCCGGCUGGGGAAGGGACCUUGGAAAGCCCAGGGCGCUGCUCCCGGCGGCUCUGUGUCUCUGCGGGGCUGCUGGUCACCUGCCUGCUGCUGAUGGUGGCUGCCGUGGUCCUGGGGGCCUGCUGUGAGUGGGGACGGGGCGGUAACGAGGCAUGGGGACAGGGGAGAGGGGACGGGGUGGGUGCCACAGGCGGAUAUCAGGUUGUGUGUGUGUCUGUGGGUCCCCCUGCCCUGUCUGCCCCUGGCUGGCCAACGUCUCUCUCACAUCCUGCGCAUCUCCCUCAACCAUCUUCUUCUUUCCUUCUCCUGCCCCUGCCCUGCCCUCCCCUGCCACCUCCACGCUUCCCUGCCUCCCCCAUCCCUUCCCACCCGGCGAGGACACCUCCCUGCCCUCACACCCCAUGCCCCGCGUCCCACCUCACCCCAAACCCUCCCCA
RNAcentral lists this long non-coding RNA (1323 nucleotides) under Anas platyrhynchos platyrhynchos (common mallard). RNAcentral describes it as "lncRNA (ENSAPLG00000018634.1)". The record is from RNAcentral. Lineage: Eukaryota; Metazoa; Chordata; Aves; Anseriformes; Anatidae.